GACGAACGCUGGCGGCGUGCCUAAUACAUGCAAGUAGAACGCUGAAGCGAGGAGCUUGCUCUUCUUGGAUGAGUUGCGAACGGGUGAGUAACGCGUAGGUAACCUGCCUUGUAGCGGGGGAUCACUAUUGGAAACGAUAGCUAAUACCGCAUAACAAUAGGUGACACAUGUCAUUUAUUUGAAAGGGGCAAUUGCUCCACUACAAGAUGGACCUGCGUUGUAUUAGGUAGUAGGUGAGGUAACGGCUCACCUAGGCGACGCUACAUAGCCGACCUGAGCGGGUGAGCAGCCAGACUGGGAGGGAGACACGGCACAGAGUCAAACGGGAAGCAGCAGGAGGGAAUCGGCGGCAAUGGGGGGAAACCAGACCGAGCAACGCCGCGUGAGUGAGGAAGGUUUUCGGAUCGGAAAGCUCUGUUGUAAGGCAAGAAAGAGUGUGAGAGUGGAAAGUACAGACAGUGACGGUAGCGUACCAGGAAGGGACGGCUAACUACGUG
RNAcentral lists this ribosomal RNA (497 nucleotides) under uncultured bacterium. Its description in RNAcentral is "partial 16S ribosomal RNA". It matches the Rfam family "Bacterial small subunit ribosomal RNA", at positions 28 to 507 of the family's 1533-position model. The record is from RNAcentral.